GGGGAAUCUUCCGCAAUGGGCGAAAGCCUGACGGAGCAACGCCGCGUGAGGGAGGAAGGUCUUUGGAUUGUAAACCUCUUUUCUCAAGGAAGAAGUUCUGACGGUACUUGAGGAAUCAGCCUCGGCUAACUCCGUGCCAGCAGCCGCGGUAAUACGGGGGAGGCAAGCGUUAUCCGGAAUUAUUGGGCGUAAAGCGUCCGCAGGUGGUCAGCCAAGUCUGCCGUCAAAUCAGGUUGCUUAACGACCUAAAGGCGGUGGAAACUGGCAGACUAGAGAGCAGUAGGGGUAGCAGGAAUUCCCAGUGUAGCGGUGAAAUGCGUAGAGAUUGGGAAGAACAUCGGUGGCGAAAGCGUGCUACUGGGCUGUAUCUGACACUCAGGGACGAAAGCUAGGGGAGCGAAAGGGAUUAGAUACCCCUGUAGUC
RNAcentral lists this ribosomal RNA (424 nucleotides) under uncultured cyanobacterium. Its description in RNAcentral is "bacterial SSU rRNA". It matches the Rfam family "Bacterial small subunit ribosomal RNA", at positions 356 to 795 of the family's 1533-position model. The record is from RNAcentral. Lineage: Bacteria; Bacillati; Cyanobacteriota.